RNAcentral lists this long non-coding RNA (243 nucleotides) under Chloebia gouldiae (Gouldian finch). RNAcentral's name for it is "Erythrura gouldiae (Gouldian finch) lncRNA (ENSEGOG00005000905.1)". The record is from RNAcentral. Lineage: Eukaryota; Metazoa; Chordata; Aves; Passeriformes; Passeridae.
GAGGCUGGCUGCCACCUGCAGAAACCACGCUGCUGCUGCAGCUUGGAGGAAUACAGCAGUUGUGUAUUUUACUCUCUUGAAAUGCAACACGUGGUUGGCUUCAUACAAGAAACGGGAUUUGAGACAUCUCUGAUGCCUGUGUCAGGGGGCAGAGGACCUGCUGAAUACAACACACAGAACACCUUGAAUUGUCCUCCUCAUCCCUCCUACAGAAAAACUGCCAAGGGUGUGAUGACUUGGUAA